GACGAACGCUGGCGGCGUGCUUAACACAUGCAAGUCGAACGGAAAGGCCCUGCUUUUGUGGGGUGCUCGAGUGGCGAACGGGUGAGUAACACGUGAGUAACCUGCCCUUGACUUUGGGAUAACUUCAGGAAACUGGGGCUAAUACCGGAUAGGAGCUCCUGCUGCAUGGUGGGGGUUGGAAAGUUUCGGCGGUUGGGGACGGACUCGCGGCUUAUCAGCUUGUUGGUGGGGUAGUGGCUUACCAAGGCUUUGACGGGUAGCCGGCCUGAGAGGGUGACCGGCCACAUUGGGACUGAGAUACGGCCCAGACUCCUACGGGAGGCAGCAGUGGGGAAUAUUGCACAAUGGGCGGAAGCCUGAUGCAGCAACGCCGCGUGCGGGAUGACGGCCUUCGGGUUGUAAACCGCUUUCGCCUGUGACGAAGCGUGAGUGACGGUAAUGGGUAAAGAAGCACCGGCUAACUACGUGCCAGCAGCCGCGGUGAUACGUAGGGUGCGAGCGUUGUCCGGAUUUAUUGGGCGUAGAGGGCUCGUAGGUGGUUGAUCGCGUCGGAAGUGUAAUCUUGGGGCUUAACCCUGAGCGUGCUUUCGAUACGGGUUGACUUGAGGAAGGUAGGGGAGAAUGGAAUUCCUGGUGGAGCGGUGGAAUGCGCAGAUAUCAGGAGGAACACCAGUGGCGAAGGCGGUUCUCUGGGCCUUUCCUGACGCUGAGGAGCGAAAGCGUGGGGAGCGAACAGGCUUAGAUACCCUGGUAGUCCACGCUGUAAACGGUGGGUACUAGGUGUGGGGUCCAUUCCACGGGUUCCGUGCCGUAGCUAACGCUUUAAGUACCCCGCCUGGGGAGUACGGCCGCAAGGCUAAAACUCAAAGGAAUUGACGGGGCCCCGCACAAGCGGCGGAGCAUGCGGAUUAAUUCGAUGCAACGCGUAGAACCUUACCUGGGUUUGACAUGGAUCGGGAGUGCUCAGAGAUGGGUGUGCCUCUUUUGGGGUCGGUUCACAGGUGGUGCAUGGCUGUCGUCAGCUCGUGUCGUGAGAUGUUGGGUUAAGUCCCGCAACGAGCGCAACCCUUGUUCACUGUUGCCAGCACGUUAUGGUGGGGACUCAGUGGAGACCGCCGGGGUCAACUCGGAGGAAGGUGGGGAUGACGUCAAGUCAUCAUGCCCCUUAUGUCCAGGGCUUCACGCAUGCUACAAUGGCUGGUACAGAGAGUGGCGAGCCUGUGAGGGUGAGCGAAUCUCGGAAAGCCGGUCUCAGUUCGGAUUGGGGUCUGCAACUCGACCUCAUGAAGUCGGAGUCGCUAGUAAUCGCAGAUCAGCAACGCUGCGGUGAAUACGUUCCCGGGGCU
RNAcentral lists this ribosomal RNA (1346 nucleotides) under uncultured bacterium. RNAcentral's name for it is "partial 16S ribosomal RNA". It matches the Rfam family "Bacterial small subunit ribosomal RNA", at positions 28 to 1381 of the family's 1533-position model. The record is from RNAcentral.